RNAcentral lists this ribosomal RNA (666 nucleotides) under uncultured bacterium. RNAcentral describes it as "bacterial SSU rRNA". It matches the Rfam family "Bacterial small subunit ribosomal RNA", at positions 69 to 718 of the family's 1533-position model. The record is from RNAcentral.
GGAUUGAGAGCUUGCUCUCAAGAAGUUAGCGGCGGACGGGUGAGUAACACGUGGGUAACCUGCCCAUAAGACUGGGAUAACUCCGGGAAACCGGGGCUAAUACCGGAUAACAUUUUGAACNGCAUGGUUCGAAAUUGAAAGGCGGCUUCGGCUGUCACUUAUGGAUGGACCCGCGUCGCAUUAGCUAGUUGGUGAGGUAACGGCUCACCAAGGCAACGAUGCGUAGCCGACCUGAGAGGGUGAUCGGCCACACUGGGACUGAGACACGGCCCAGACUCCUACGGGAGGCAGCAGUAGGGAAUCUUCCGCAAUGGACGAAAGUCUGACGGAGCAACGCCGCGUGAGUGAUGAAGGCUUUCGGGUCGUAAAACUCUGUUGUUAGGGAAGAACAAGUGCUAGUUGAAUAAGCUGGCACCUUGACGGUACCUAACCAGAAAGCCACGGCUAACUACGUGCCAGCAGCCGCGGUAAUACGUAGGUGGCAAGCGUUAUCCGGAAUUAUUGGGCGUAAAGCGCGCGCAGGUGGUUUCUUAAGUCUGAUGUGAAAGCCCACGGCUCAACCGUGGAGGGUCAUUGGAAACUGGGAGACUUGAGUGCAGAAGAGGAAAGUGGAAUUCCAUGUGUAGCGGUGAAAUGCGUAGAGAUAUGGAGGAACACCAGUGGCGA